Molecule: long non-coding RNA, 671 nt
Filed under: Heterocephalus glaber (naked mole-rat)
Lineage: Eukaryota; Metazoa; Chordata; Mammalia; Rodentia; Bathyergidae
Description: lncRNA (ENSHGLG00000039613.1)
Source: RNAcentral
GGGGGAAAAGAGUGUUCUGGAAGUGUUUGUGAUGUCAUAAGACUUAAACCAGAAAGUGGAACUUGUUACUUCCUCUCACACACCAUUGAUAGGAACUCAGCCAUGAGACUACCGAGCUGCACAGAAGGCUGAGAAAUAUCAAGCUCACCUGUGAGCACAAAUCUUAAGACAAGCCAGUGGGACUUAAUCCUGGAGUUGCUUCACUUGGAGAAUAAAACUGUCCACAGAAGGGAGAGCUUGAUAGCUAAUGAAGCCAACACAGAGGACAGCAGAGCCAAGAAUGGGGAGAGAGACUUGGCACUAUUUGAGCACCUGGAUUCAGCCAUACCUGAAGCCAACAUGUGACAAUCUCUUUUAAGAACCAAAGGAACCAAAGGAGGGAUUUAUGCUUUGUAGUGCCUCAAACCAUACUCUGAAAAUCCUUAACCUAAACAUCCCAAUAAAAGUUAUAAAUGUUAUAACUGAAGUUCCACGUCCCAGGUUCUUUACCAAUAUUUGCCAUUUUUAUUGUUGUUAACAGCCAUCCUAGCCCAGGCAUGGUGGCGCAUACUUGGGAGGCCAAGGCAAGAGUAUUGCCAUGAGUUUGAGGCCUGCCUGGGAUACACAGUGAGCUCAAGGCCAGCCUGAACUACAUAGUGAGACCCUGUCUCAAAAAACAAACAAAACCAAAC